This 502-nucleotide ribosomal RNA is filed under the name uncultured bacterium. RNAcentral describes it as "partial 16S ribosomal RNA". It matches the Rfam family "Bacterial small subunit ribosomal RNA", at positions 30 to 523 of the family's 1533-position model. The record is from RNAcentral.
AUUGAACGCUGGCGGCAGGCUUAACACAUGCAAGUCGAGCGGGGUGAUGGUGCUUGCACUAUCACUUAGCGGCGGACGGGUGAGUAAUGCUUAGGAAUCUGCCUAUUAGUGGGGGACAACAUCUCGAAAGGGAUGCUAAUACCGCAUACGUCCUACGGGAGAAAGCAGGGGAUCUUUAUGACCUUGCGCUAAUAGAUGAGCCUAAGUCGGAUUAGCUAGUUGGUGGGGUAAAGGCCUACCAAGGCGACGAUCUGUAGCGGGUCUGAGAGGAUGAUCCGCCACACUGGGACUGAGACACGGCCCAGACUCCUACGGGAGGCAGCAGUGGGGAAUAUUGGACAAUGGGGGGAACCCUGAUCCAGCCAUGCCGCGUGUGUGAAGAAGGCCUUAUGGUUGUAAAGCACUUUAAGCGAGGAGGAGGCUACUUUAGUUAAUACCCGGAGAUAGUGGACGUUACUCGCAGAAUAAGCACCGGCUAACUCUGUGCCAGCAGCCGCAGUAA